This 498-nucleotide ribosomal RNA is filed under the name uncultured bacterium. RNAcentral's name for it is "partial 16S ribosomal RNA". It matches the Rfam family "Bacterial small subunit ribosomal RNA", at positions 28 to 507 of the family's 1533-position model. The record is from RNAcentral.
GACGAACGCUGGCGGCGUGCCUAAUACAUGCAAGUCGAGCGGACGGAUGGGAGCUUGCUCCCAGACCGUCAGCGGCGGACGGGUGAGUAACACGUGGGCAACCUGCCUGUAAGACUGGGAUAACUCCGGGAAACCGGGGCUAAUACCGGAUAACUCUUUCCCUCACAUGAGGGAAAGCUGAAAGAUGGCAUCUCGCUAUCACUUACAGAUGGGCCCGCGGCGCAUUAGCUAGUUGGUGAGGUAACGGCUCACCAAGGCGACGAUGCGGAGCCGACCUGAGAGGGUGAUCGGCGACCCUGGGACUGAGACACGGCCCAGACUCCUACGGGAGGCAGCAGUAGGGAAUCUUCCGCAAUGGACGAAAGUCUGACGGAGCAACGCCACGUGAGUGAUGAAGGUGUUCGGAUCGUAAAACUCUGUUGUCAGGGAAGAACAAGUACCGGAGUAACUGCCGGUACCUUGACGGUACCUGACCAGAAAGCCACGGCUAACUACGUG